Molecule: ribosomal RNA, 265 nt
Filed under: uncultured bacterium
Lineage: Bacteria
Description: partial 16S ribosomal RNA
Rfam family: Bacterial small subunit ribosomal RNA
Source: RNAcentral
AACGAACGCUGGCGGCAUGGCUAAGACAUGCAAGUCGAACGAUGCGUUGUAGCAAUAUGGCGCAUAGUGGCGAACGGGUGAGUACAAAAUAGGUAACGUACCCUUGGCACAGGGAUAGCGCCGGGAGCUUGCUCCCUUUGCGAAAGUGGCAUUAAUACCUGGUGACGUCUUCGGGUGGCAUCAUCUGAAGACCAUAGGCGGGGACCUUCGGGCCUGCCGGCCUGGGAGCGACCUAUUUCCUAUCAGCUAGUUGGCGGGGUAACGG